RNAcentral lists this long non-coding RNA (243 nucleotides) under Lathyrus oleraceus (garden pea). Its description in RNAcentral is "Pisum sativum (pea) long non-coding RNA (PSAT_LNC018369)". Lineage: Eukaryota; Viridiplantae; Streptophyta; Magnoliopsida; Fabales; Fabaceae. The record is from RNAcentral.
UUUAUUUUGAGAAAAUCGCUCGAUGUUGGAUCAAACUUAUUUUUGUUCUUUCUGAAAGCGGUUGAUUUUAGUCUCGAGUUAGCAAUCAAAUAAUAUAAUAAAACAACUGUAAGGGAAGCUAUAAAAUUAGGUAAGCAAUACAACCCAAGGAUGGAGGAUACAUCUUGUCAAAUAGGGAAUGAAAUAAAGAUAGGCAUUGGAAAUAAAAUCGAUACAAAGCAAGCCAAAAUAUAUGAGAUAGUA